This 61-nucleotide transfer RNA is filed under the name Mordellidae sp. GENSP01. RNAcentral describes it as "tRNA-Cys". The record is from RNAcentral. Lineage: Eukaryota; Metazoa; Arthropoda; Insecta; Coleoptera; Mordellidae.
GGUUUAUAGUCAAAAAUGAUUUUAAAUUGCAAAUUUAAAGGUAAACAAAGUUUUUAAACCU